Molecule: long non-coding RNA, 1095 nt
Organism: Homo sapiens (human)
Lineage: Eukaryota; Metazoa; Chordata; Mammalia; Primates; Hominidae
Source: Ensembl
CCCCACCCCGCGGUUGCCAUGACCAUUCCAAUGGCUCCAGCCCAUCUCCUGCCAGCUUCCUCCUCUUCGAAACCAUCCCCACCCCACUGCUGCAGUCAACAUUGUCAAAUCCACCUCCUGCCUCCAGAACUCAGUUGAUCCAAGCGCGAUCUAGCACCUUAGGUUUAUGGAAACAAACUCCUGGAUGUUCCAGAGGAAGAGGCGGUGGAGGAACAGCACUACAGCAGCAGUGCAGUGAGCAGAGUUCAAGGCCAUCUUGAAGCAGGCAGGUCCUUCCAGACAGCCAAUGAGGCUCAUCAGGAUAGAGCCCUCCUACCUUCCACCACUGCCCCAGGCUCCCCAAAGGCACGCGGCUCUAUCCCCUUCAAGCCUUUGCACAGGCUGCUCCAUGGAGCUGCACAAUCUCCUGCCACUGCACACAGACAGAGGGUGCCCAAGUGUCCCAGUUUUAACACUGAAAGUCCCACGUCCCAGGACCCUCUCAGUCCCAGGCAACCCAGGAGGGUUGGUCCUUACAGAUAACUCCAAUGCAUCCUUCAGGGCUGCCUCUUCCAGGAAGCCUUCCCUGAGCCCUCAAACCUAGAUCAGCUGUCCCUCCUCUGCGCCACCUCACUCUUGCCUGCAAUGUUACUUUGUGUUUUAGUGGCCCGCUUACCUCCCUGCCUCCCUGAUGGCAGUGACUCAAUUUUGUCAAGCUGGACUCAGUAUUAAUUAACAAGAAGAAAUGACAUGGCCCCUGCCAGCUGGCAUUCAGGCCAGUGGGUAUGUCAGACAGGUUCACCAAUGCCCAUGGGUUCAAACACUUAUUUACUAGAUGCCAGGCUUAUGCCAGGGCUGAGACCAGAUAGGAGACUGCCCCAGCCUGCCUGCAAGGUGCUUUGCCUGCAAACCAACACACCAAGCAGCAUGGGUUACUUGCUGGGCCAAGGCUAAGGCCAAGGGUUGGCAAACUUUUUCUGUAAAGGGCGAGACAAAUAUUUUGGGCUUUUCCCGCCAUAGGGUCUCUGUCCCAGAUAAAAUUCUAGCUGGGGUGGGACAGCGGCCCGAGACAUUCUGUAAAUUACCAAUGUAUUCCAAUAAAACUUAACUUAUGAA